AUAAUGACAUGAUAGCUAAUCCAUACCCCUGCAUGAUUUUAUCUUCUACAGAAGGAGGCUGGCAAGUUUAAAGGGGACACCCUCAAAGAUCAGCCAGGGGAAACCACUUCUGGUUUCUCAGCUACCAGGAGGCAACCUGAACGUGUCAGGGCCUGGGCACGACACUUGCCUUUCUUGGAGGAGUGAUUUGAAGCCAUAGUGGAAAACUGGGCCUCUAUAAAAAACGAACGAGGACACUCUUAAUGGACAGAUACAAAACAAGCCCCAGGAGAAAGGUGUAUCAGCCAUUUUAAAUCUGCCCUCAAAAGCACAGAACAAAUCAGAUGGCAUUUUGCUCAUAGAGGAGAGGGUCUGUGAGAACCAAAUUCCAGCUUCAGCACAUGACCUUGGGUACAGAUGGAGGAAGCUAUUUGACCUGCAUCAGACUUUACGUGAACAAAAGGAUGUUGUUAUGUCCAAAGCCAUCUUGCCAUGAGCAGCCUGAGACUGGAGCCAAUGACUGAGGGUGGCAGAGUAGAAAGAUGGUAA
RNAcentral lists this small RNA (528 nucleotides) under Pongo abelii (Sumatran orangutan). RNAcentral describes it as "processed transcript". Lineage: Eukaryota; Metazoa; Chordata; Mammalia; Primates; Hominidae. The record is from RNAcentral.